RNAcentral lists this ribosomal RNA (497 nucleotides) under uncultured bacterium. RNAcentral's name for it is "partial 16S ribosomal RNA". It matches the Rfam family "Bacterial small subunit ribosomal RNA", at positions 28 to 507 of the family's 1533-position model. The record is from RNAcentral.
GAUGAACGCUGGCGGCGUGCCUAAUACAUGCAAGUCGAGCGAACGGACGAGAAGCUUGCUUCUCUGAUGUUAGCGGCGGACGGGUGAGUAACACGUGGAUAACCUACCUAUAAGACUGGGAUAACUUCGGGAAACCGUAGCUAAUACCGGAUAAUAUUUUGAACCGCAUGGUUCAAAAGUGAAAGACGGUCUUGCUGUCACUUAUAGAUGGAUCCGCGCUGCAUUAGCUAGUUGGUAAGGUAACGGCUUACCAAGGCAACGAUGCAUAGCCGACCUGAGAGGGGUAUCGGCCAAAAUGGAACCGAGACACGGUCCAGACCCCUACGGGAGGCAGCAGUAGGGAAUCUUCCGCAAUGGGCGAAAGCCUGACGGAGCAACGCCGCGUGAGUGAUGAAGGUCUUCGGAUCGUAAAACUCUGUUAUUAGGGAAGAACAUAUGUGUAAGUAACUGUGCACAUCUUGACGGUACCUAAUCAGAAAGCCACGGCUAACUACGUG